GACGAACGCUGGCGGCGUGCUUAACACAUGCAAGUCGAACGGAAAGGCCCCCUUGAUGGGUACUCGAGUGGCGAACGGGUGAGUAACACGUGAAUAACCUACCCUUGACUUUGGUAUAACUUCAAGAAACUGGGGCUAAUACCGGAUAGAAGCUCCUUCUGCAUGGUGGGGGAUGGAAAGUUUCGGCGGUUGGGGAUGCACUCGCGGCUUAUCAACUUGUUGGUGGGGUAGUGGCUCACCAAGGCUUUGACGGGUAGCCGGCCUGAGAGGGUUACCGUACACAUUGGUACGGAGAGACGGCCCAGACUCCUACGGGAGGCAGCAGUGGGGAAUAUUGCACAAUGGGCGGAAGCAUGAUGCAGCAACGCAGCGUGCGGGAUGACGGCAUUCGGGUUGUAUACCGCUUUCGCCUGUGACGAAGCGGGAGUGACGGUAAUGGGUGAAGAAGCACCGGCUAACUACGUG
RNAcentral lists this ribosomal RNA (465 nucleotides) under uncultured bacterium. Its description in RNAcentral is "partial 16S ribosomal RNA". It matches the Rfam family "Bacterial small subunit ribosomal RNA", at positions 28 to 507 of the family's 1533-position model. The record is from RNAcentral.